GUUAGUGUGGGGAUGCUUGAGCCCUCGUCAGUUACUGAAGAACUGGCGUUAGUUUGGUUGAUUGGGUCCGUCCUUUCACCUGCUCCAGGUAAACCGUGGCGGGUUGAUCCUUCCUCCUCAUCCGCUUCCACUCCGAGAAGGUGACGCGCGUGUGUCCGCUUUACGUGAUAGUAGAAGGAGUUAUACACUCUGUACUCACUCGGACAGCCAUCAAUUCCACACACCACGCGAAAGUCAGGGCUGCGGCUGUGCAUGGUAUUAAUGUGACUCAAACGUUGUCUCAGACUCAAUGCUACAAACACGUAGCAUAUAAAGCAACGCCAAAUCAUGUUGGAAGCUAGUAUGUUUCAUUCGGUAGCGCGGGCUGCAUUUGUGCCGUAAAAUAACUCGUUACCAUGGUUACACGCGCCUGCUAAAUUGUCGUAAAUGUGGGGGAUAAACUAAAUUAUUUUUUUUUUAACCUAUAAUAAUUAACGUUAUUUUGCAAUGCACAGAGACAGUUGUUUGGUUUAAAAACCAAUGAAUCAUCCUUUUAGGAUUUUUGGGCCAAAGAAAUGUCAGGCAAAUUGAACACGAACUUCGUUUCUGGCUGUGGUGAAUGAUCUGGUGGACAUCUUAAGUUCAUGCAGACACGUGCCUGCCACUACUGUCCGAGAGUUCUUUGCAUCCGUGUUUCAUUGGAACCGAACAGUGACUGGACGAAGCAAGCUAACGACAAAAAAAGCUAACUAGUGUGCUAAGUAGGCUAACAGCAUGGAAGGACUGGAUGAGGUCACAGUGUCGGUUUUAAAGGCAAACAAGCCUGCGGAUAUCAACAGUCCAGACACCCACUGUCCAGCAACCUUGGCCAAACACUACAAUACCCUACAAACUUUGUUUAAUAUAAAAAACCCAAACCACCAGGAUGUCUCUCAGCUCCUGGAUUUGGAAUUUCAGCCAGAAGAGCAUUCAUUGAUUCAAAUACUAUUCGCGAGGAGGACAGACACAAAAAGGUUCUAGAAGCAUAUCCUUGCUUCAAGGACAUUGGCCAUGUGAUGGAGGAGCUUCAUCGCAUUUUGGAUAAAGAUAAUGGCAACUUCGUCAAUGAACUGAAGGGAAGAUGGCAAGAUUUCUGCCAGAAGGUGCAGUUUUUUGGUGUAUGGAAAAAGACGCUGAAGCCCCCAAUGGGAAUGGAUAAAGCUGAAUAGGCUCUUGAGAUCCUGUGUGUGCUGCCAUCACUGUUCCCAUCCACCUCUGCUCCUCCAAAGAGGGCACGGGAUGCGAGUGAGGCUCUGGUGCAUGUCCUUGAGGACCAAGAAGACCCUAAUACCUCUUUGAUGAAACGUCCUCUCUCCUGCCCAGUCCUGAUCGCGAGUCCGUCCAACUGCAUCCUAGCGGUAGGAGAUGUGCCAAUAACCACGUUUCCAAAAGACGAGGUUACGGAGGGUGCUUUAUACCUUAUGGCCUACUAUUAUACCCUACACCUUACAUACCCAAAGUGUGUAGCCACUCUGCUUUCCGUCAUACAGACGGAGGUUCUCUUGGACAAAAUCAAUGAGCGAGAUCUCACAUCAUCUUACAAGAAGAGCAUGGCUGACUGGAAUGCUUUUAUUGGCCAGUAGAGCCAGUGUGGUUAAGAUGUGGACUAUAGGAAAGCACUUCUCUCCUUCCAAGGCUACUACAGUCCAUGUUGGUUGCGAUUGAUUUUUGUUUGGAAAUUGGCCAGGUUAGCCCAGUUUUAUAAUUAAGGAUGCACGAUAAUAUCAGCGAACAUGCCGACAUUUUAUGUUUGGUUUGUGCAGUGCAGAGACUGCCUAGCUUUUAGUUGAUUUUAAAGGUUGUUUUUUUUUUUUUUUUAAUGUUGAGUUUAGGCUACAGUGUAUUCAGCGGAUAGGCUCCGUGCAUCCUUAAUGAUAAUUUUACAAUGGUAUUGUUUGAAGAAUGUUGUCAAAUGUCCAUGUUAAUAUAGCCCAGGACCUUUAAUUUAAAUGAUAAAAACACUUUGUAUUAAUAACAAAUGUUACAGGUUGAGCAGUUUUAGUAUGCCUAGCAGUGUGUUUGUCUGUGCUUUGAAUUGUGCCUGUGCAAUGCACAGAUUUUAGCAGUGUAUUAAGGGCCAGAUUGGGCAGAACAAAAAGUCACUGCAAAAUGACUUCUUUAAUGCAGUCCUCUCUGUUUAUGGGGCUUUACCAAUAAAGUUGCUGCUCUGCAAAUCUA
Oreochromis niloticus (Nile tilapia) is the source of this 2196-nucleotide long non-coding RNA. RefSeq lists it as uncharacterized. The record is from RefSeq and is a predicted model, not a curated record. The transcript has 6 exons. Lineage: Eukaryota; Metazoa; Chordata; Actinopteri; Cichliformes; Cichlidae.